Molecule: ribosomal RNA, 786 nt
Filed under: Pratylenchus parazeae
Lineage: Eukaryota; Metazoa; Nematoda; Chromadorea; Rhabditida; Pratylenchidae
Description: eukaryotic LSU rRNA
Rfam family: Eukaryotic large subunit ribosomal RNA
Source: RNAcentral
ACAAGUACCGUGAGGGAAAGUUGCAAAGCACUUUGAAGAGAGAGUUAAAGAGGACGUGAAACCGAUGAGGUGGAAACGGAUAGAGCCAGCGUAUCUGGCCUGUAUUCAAUUGCCGGUGGACGGCGCUCGUACAGCUGGCGACUCCAGAUUGGGACGGUUGUGCUGGGCCUUGCCGGACAUUGGCGAUGCAUUUGCAGGCCAUGUGCGCCGAGAGGCUCGGGGCAGCAGUGUGAACUCGGUCUUGAGGCCAGCUUGCUGGUACCCGGACUUGGGGGAAUUCUGUUUGCUCUGGGUGCCAUGAAGAGGAGUAUGGCUAACGGGCCCGGCUGGGUGCCGAGCUGAGAGUCGGCGGCGGUCGCAUGCGACACGUGCUGUGCUAGCAGUUCGGUCCUGGUCGAGCUCACAUGCUCCGUCUCGGUGUAAGAGCUGGUCAUCUCUCCGACCCGUCUUGAAACACGGACCAAGGAGUUUAUCGUGUGCGCGAGUCAUUGGGCGUUCAAAACCCAAAGGCGCAAUGAAAGUGAAUGUGUUCCGCAAGGAGCUGAUGUGCGAUCCUGCGCUCCACGGAGUGCGGGCGCAGCAUGGCCCCAUCCUGACUGCUUGCAGUGGGGUGGAGGAAGAGCGUGCGCGAUGAGACCCGAAAGAUGGUGAACUAUUCCUGAGCAGGAUGAAGCCAGAGGAAACUCUGGUGGAAGUCCGAAGCGAUUCUGACGUGCAAAUCGAUCGUCUGACUUGGGUAUAGGGGCGAAAGACUAAUCGAACCAUCUAGUAGCUGGUUCCUUCCGA